Molecule: ribosomal RNA, 253 nt
Filed under: uncultured bacterium
Lineage: Bacteria
Description: partial 16S ribosomal RNA
Rfam family: Bacterial small subunit ribosomal RNA
Source: RNAcentral
UACGUAGGGUGCGAGCGUUAAUCGGAAUUACUGGGCGUAAAGCGUGCGCAGGCGGUUCGUGAUGUCUGAUGUGAAAGCCCCGGGCUUAACCUGGGAAUUGCAUUGGAAACUAGCGGGCUGGAGUGUGGCAGAGGGGGGUGGAAUUCCACGUGUAGCAGUGAAAUGCGUAGAGAUGUGGAGGAACACCGAUGGCGAAGGCAGCCCCCUGGGCUGACACUGACGCUCAUGCACGAAAGCGUGGGGAGCAAACAGG